UCUGUCCACUCUGCAGAGUGAACGUUGAGGAUUUAGCACACAAAUGUCCAUAGAGCAUUUGGAAACAAGCAAUGAGAGCAGAGGUAUCCGGUGUAUCCCAACCACCCUCCUGCGGAUCCCCGCGCCUCCCCUGCGCAUCCCACGCGCAUCCCACGCGGGCAGCAGCACACAGGAGACCACGGGCUAAGCCUGAACCACAGGCAAACUCACCAGGCACGCCCCAUGGCCUGUGCUCGUGCCCUCAGGUGGUGACGAAAGGUAGGGGAAGCUCAGGCCGGGGAAGGUGUGGGGGGUGAGUGCUUCCUGCAGAAGCCCCUCCGGACUGCAGCACAGGUGGUCCCACCUGGUUGUAGGGCAGGUCACCCACUUCGGUGGCAGGGGACACAGCCAGUGGGGGGUUGCACACCUUUAACCCUUAGUGAGAUGGAGAAGUAAUUCAUGGCCUAUCAAUCUUUUGACAAUUAAAUUAGAUGAGUACUUGGAAAGAUGCCUUUAUUUUCCCUUCCUCCCCCGCCGCCUCCCUUUUAUGGCAGCAUUAAAACACUUUUCAUUUUAAAGCCUGGCCAGCAGGCAGUAGAUUCCAAGGCUCUGGUUAACUAGGAAUGCUUUGCUACAUUGAAAGGAAAGUUCAAAACCAAGCCCAAACUCCCUGCCCUCUUGUCUCUGAGGAUGGACGAGAGCGACGGGGCUGGCUGGGACACAUCCAUAGGUGGCUGCGCACCUAGACGGUCCUGCUGAAGGAAGGCAAGGCACACAGAUCUCCAGCAGCCGCUGCCCCAACUCCAUCCACAGGGUUAUUUCUAGGCUCCCACAUUCCAAGGACAUCCAAAACGCAGAGGAUGCACAUCGUUCUGCAGUGUCUGGGGUCACCUCACAGCCACCCUCUUUGUGACCACUGAAGCCCAUUCACCAGGACUGUCUUUCUAAACUCCCUCCCAGGGCCUGCCUGGCUGUCCUCUGGGCACAGCUGGGCCACCAUCAUUAGAGUAAACCUCAACUCCAAUGCAAAUACUAAAAUCCUUGGGAAGACCUGGCUACAGAAAAAGAGCCCUAGAAACAAAAAUGAUGAAAUAGAAAGCACUUCUGUGGACAGCAACUUCUGGAUCAAGUUCUGGCCUCUAAGGUUAUGGUCCCACCCUCUACUAAGGCAGGGUCUAUCUAGUUCAACCCUUGCAUGCACUAACACCUCCCCUCCCACAUCAAGAAACAAUGCCAAAGGUCUCAAAACUUUGUGCUCACGACUAAUACUGAGGCCUCAGGAAGGCAACAAAUACGGGAGAAAAUGAGCAAAGGGGCGACUCUGAAUAGUAUUACCCUGAGACACAGAAGGGAAAAAAGUUCAGAUUCGUACCUUUCCAAAAAAACCUUGGUAAGGAUUCUUCCCCCCAGAUAGCUCUCACGGGGGUAGAGGGAAUACUGGCAAAGGUUGAAAGUGGCAGUUUGCAUGUUUUUAACCCUCUCCAUUUUCUAAGAAGAAAACACAGUCAAUACAUUUGAUUGUCUUGAAAAUGAAGCCAACCGAUGAGAGCAUUUAAAGUGCACAUGUCACCUAACGACAACGACUGAGAUGACUGGAAUUGAGAGAAGACGCAGUCUCCUUCCAGGAAGCUCACUCGAUUCUGGAAAUCUGGGGGCUCUGGAUAGGAACUCCAUCUUUCCCCCAAAACUUAAGCACAGUUUCAGGCACGUGAUUUCUUUAGCUUGAUGGAGAACAUGGUGUCCCGGCAUGGAAACAGUAUGGGGAAUGCAGUCCGAGUCACCCCAAAAAACAACCCCUUCUCAUGUGAUAGAAACCAAGACAGGCCAUUAGAUCCAGCAGCUAGAGCACUGUCAAGGCCAUGAGCAAAAGCACAGGCAGCCACCAUCCCAGGUAAAUCCCCAGGACAGGAACAAAUCCCCCUGAGGACAACUUCCAAGGAGGAAGAGAGAUGACAAAGGUAUGUAAGCACAGUUCUUGGUAAGCAGUUCUCUUUCUGCACUGCAGACUGUAUUCCUGGAUGAAGUUGGGUGGUUUGAGGGAAUUCCGGGCACUACUUUGAUUUUAAACUUGUCCAACCAGAACCUGACCAAAUCGUUUUGAGUGGGGUCUGGGCAGAUGUGAAAUCUCUAUUUUUAAAAAAGACCACCAAAACAACCAAAGCAGAUGAAACAUCACAGCUGGGCGGGGAGUAAGAGACACUCUAACAUUGAUGUCAAGCUCUGUGGCGACGUGCUCUAACUUCAGCAUCCACGGUGUUUUUGUGAAGAGCAUGUACGCAAGUAAAUCCAAUCAGCACCAACCUCGUAUUGUUCCAAACCCGGAGAACAGGGGCACCCGGCCUACAUUUACAAGGAGAAGAAUGCAGGUUCAGUACUGCCCUCCUGCAAAUCCCAGGAGGGGAACUCGGAGCCAGUGACCAGAACAGACAGCCAAGCCCCGGGCAGAUCUCAGGAAAGUCACGACAGAUUCAGCUGUAACUUGGAGUUGUACAGAUAGGUGAAAGAAAGAAACUUAACUUUUUGUUUAGGGUCUUUGCAAGGGGACAUAUUUUCAAUAGAAAAAUCAGCAGGUUUUGGCCUUUGGUCUGUUUCUGAAGGGUGAGUAUUCUCCAUGACAGAAAAAGGCAAAGGUAGGUCAGAGGUGGCGAGUUUCUUCAUUCUCAAACAAGGGAGAAGACAUCCUUUGAUUAAAGAAUGAGGCGGGGUGGGGGAGGGAAGGACAUGGACCCCCUCCCUUUAAAAUUUCAUCUGGGCCUUCAAGGCACUUCAAAAGACACAGAGUGAACAGUGCUGGAUGCCACUUCACUCGGUAUUGACUGGAUAGUUUAGACUGUUGGGCUAGACCUGGCUCACCCUUAAGAAAGAAAAACAAACACAAACACACAAAUACAAUAAAUAAAACAAAUCUAGGCUACAAAUUUUAAACCAGACCUCUUUCAAAUAAACUGAAAGAUAAAUAUCUCCAUCUGCAAGGCCAGCUUGCAAUUCAUCAAUAAGCACCAAGUUAGUUACAGAUUUUUCUUAAGUGUGCUCAAAAGCCCCACGCUUCUGAGGGGCAAAAAAGGAAGAAUUGAAGGCCUCGUUGGAAGCACAAAAUUUUCCAGGGCCUCCCUUCUGGUGUACGGGGCCUCAGAGGGCAACAUUACCAUGAACUGUCCUGCACACACCAGCUGGGGAAAGCCUCAAGUGAACAAAGAUGAAAACACAGUGGGAAAAGCAAAAGCAAAGCCGAGCAGCAGGCAGCCAUCUGUAUCUGCUUCCAGGGGCAGAGUACAAUUCAACAACAGACCUUUAGAUAUACUUUUGAAGAAAUCCAAUUUUGCCAAGGCCUCCUAACAUAAGAAGGGCGCUUUCACAACCACGCCUUCCAGGCCAGCUCCUCUCCAGAUCUGCACUGGCAGGAACUGCUACACAUGGCUUCACCCUUCGCCUGAACCCACUUCUCAGCCAGCUGUCCUAGCUUCAGAGCACAGCUUCUGCCUGGCCUGGGUGCGAGGCUGACCCCUGGCAGUGGUGUGCCCUCACCCAGCAAGGGCCAGACAGCUGCUGUCUGGGAGAGGCACGACGGGGGCUCAGGAACACAGCCAGGAGGCCGUGGCCCCUUCUGAGUGGUCAGUGACAAUCAAAAGGUGUCACGCUGCAGGGAUAAUGGUGAGUAGGCCUCUUCACUUUAUCCAUGCCCAAAACGUGGGUAAACAUGCUGGAAAACCAGGAUAUUUCUUCUGGAUUUGAUGACAAAAUAAGAUACUAUGGGUUGUUUUGUUGCUUUAGUGCCUGAAACACCGAGAUCGAGGUGGUGCACAUCACGUCUUUUAUAUACAUCAAGCCUUCUCUCACUGGUUUCACAAAUGUUUGUCAUCCCUAAGAUGAAAUGAGAAAUACAUGCAAAACAGGGGUGGUAUGUGCCCGGGAUGGGUUUAGAGGGAAACCAGUCUCUGAGGAGUACUGGGUGAACUGCUGAUAUGCGGGGGCUCCGGGUCUGUCCAGGCACUGCCCUUGUGCUGAGCUAAGUUGACCAGACGCCUGGUGCAGACUGGGCCGCCUUUUGGCAUUCCCCGUGUGUAUAUGCAGACAGGUCCCCAUGUACGUACACAGAUCAAGUCCAAAACAUCUGCUGUUUGGUUUUGUGUUCCCCCAAAUAAAAGGCAGUCGGAGGUUCAGACCUUACUUGGAUACACUCUUUCAGCCUUUAGGAAUUCCUGACGUGUCCAAAACCAUCACCUGUACUUACGAGGCCAUUACUUUCAGUGUAAUCCUGAGUAGGGCCAGCCCAACCUGAGAGUCCUGGGCAGUCACAAAUCAUGGCCGAAGCAGAGUCUGGGCCUCCUUCCCCACCCGACACUCAAUAUCAUCUGUUGCUUAUUGUCCAGGACCUGGGGCCGCCCAGGAGGACUGGACGCUGAGGAGCAGUGGGCGUCCAGUGUAAGAGACUUGUGCACACGGGGACAGCAGGAGAGGUGGGCUGGCCAGGAUCAGGAGGCAGCUGCCUCAGCAGAGAGGAAGAGGGUCAGCAGAAGAUCUCUUCACCCUCUGCUGAUACUUCUGACGCGGGACCAUCUGGAAAUGUGAAAACCAAGAAUGAAAAAAAUUCAGCAAAACUGCUCCUUUCAUUGAACUUCC
Molecule: long non-coding RNA, 4599 nt
Filed under: Pan troglodytes (chimpanzee)
Lineage: Eukaryota; Metazoa; Chordata; Mammalia; Primates; Hominidae
Description: long non-coding RNA NONPTRT005765
Source: RNAcentral